This 87-nucleotide transfer RNA is filed under the name Puccinia coronata f. sp. avenae. It matches the Rfam family "tRNA". Rfam says of the family: Transfer RNA (tRNA) molecules are approximately 80 nucleotides in length. Their secondary structure includes four short double-helical elements and three loops (D, anti-codon, and T loops). The record is from Rfam by way of RNAcentral. Lineage: Eukaryota; Fungi; Basidiomycota; Pucciniomycetes; Pucciniales; Pucciniaceae.
GGCUUCGUAAUUCAGUGGUAGAAUGCCUGCUUUACAUCCUCAGGACGGAUUCGCAGUACGCCGUGGGUUCGAUCCCCACCGAGGUCA